GCCAGGCGAAGUGGCACAUGCCUGUAAUCCCAGCAGCUCAGGAGGCUGAGACAGGAGGAUCUCAGGUUCAAAGCCAGCCUCAGCAAUGGUGAGGUGCUAAGCAACUCAGUGAGACCCUGUCUCUA
Molecule: small RNA, 125 nt
Filed under: Marmota monax (woodchuck)
Lineage: Eukaryota; Metazoa; Chordata; Mammalia; Rodentia; Sciuridae
Source: RNAcentral